Molecule: ribosomal RNA, 733 nt
Filed under: Pristimantis gladiator
Lineage: Eukaryota; Metazoa; Chordata; Amphibia; Anura; Strabomantidae
Description: partial large subunit ribosomal RNA
Rfam family: Bacterial large subunit ribosomal RNA
Source: RNAcentral
UAGUAACAAGAGGUAACCCCUCUCUACAGUGUAGGUAUACACCAACAAGAACCCACCAUUGGCAAUCAACAGAUUUAAAUAAAAGUGGCAACUUCCCCAGAAAACCCCACUCCCUCAGCUGUUAACCUAAUACCAGAACACUUCAAGAAAGAUUAAAAGAAAGAGAAGGAACUCGGCAAACAUUAGCCCCGCCUGUUUACCAAAAACACCGCCUCUUGCUCCCAUAAGAGGUCUAGCCUGCCCAGUGACUUCUGUUCAACGGCCGCGGUAUCCUAACCGUGCAAAGGUAGCGUAAUCACUUGUCUCCUAAAUAGAGACUAGUAUGAAUGGCAUCACGAGGACUAAGCUGUCUCCUCUCCCUAAUCAGUGAACCUAAUAACCCCGUGAAGAAGCGGGGAUUUUUAUAUAAGACGAGAAGACCCUGUGGAGCUUAAAUCAUUAUAACACCUGCCACCUCACUCUAUCUACCCAGGUUUUCCCCCCCCCCCGUGGCACCAUGAUUAUAUGUUUUUGGUUGGGGUGACCGCGGAGAAAAACCUAUCCUCCACAAUGAAAGGGACUUCCCUAAACAGUAAGCUACAACUUUAUGUAUCAGCAAACUGACAUCCAUUGACCCAAUAUAUUUGAUUAACGAACCAAGUUACCCCAGGGAUAACAGCGCAAUCCACUUCGAGAGCCCCUAUCGACAAGUGGGCUUACGACCUCGAUGUUGGAUCGUGGUAUCCUAGUGGUG